GUAACAAGCGAUGGAUAACCUGGACCUGAACCCGACUGGGGAAAAAAGAGGAACCGGUGGAAAGGUAGCUGGUGGAGACGCGUCCUCGUGUGCGGAGCUCUGGAACCUGGAGCAGCUGAGGUGGAUGCGCUGCAGGACUGAAGCACAAACUCAGGGACACCCGGAUCAGUGCAGCCUCACGGCCCGUCGCGCUGAUAAGUGGGAGAACAGCAGGACUCCAGGAAUUCCUCUCUGCAUUAAUGGCCUCACGCUCCCACGUUGGACGUUUCCUUUAUGGUUUCUCUUUGGGAACGUUGAUCCCGUCCUGGCGCUGAAACAGAACCAGACUGGUCACAGACGGACUCCACGCCGUCUGCAUGAUUCAUGAAGUGUUUCAUUCCAGACUAAGAUUAAGCUGAUCGUUGCAACCAACGUAUUCCAUUGGUGGAGAAGGCUGGGAUUCUUCAGGAGCUUCCAGGAGGUCUGGCUUUGCUCACGCUCACUAAGAACUGGAGGCGCUCGUCAUGAAGCAGCAGGAAUUAAAAGUGUUUGAGUUGGAAGAACAACCCUUAAUGUGGAUAUUAAUUUCUUGCCUGAAUCUCUGUUUAUUUCAUGUGUUACAUGGGUACAUGACAAAGAAACAUAGAGGUUUGAAAGAAAUUACUUAGGAUCAAAGUUAUCUACUUUAAUCUUUAAAAGCACAUCUUGUUUUGAGUUCUGUCGUAAAGAUCAGGGUAAUGAUGAUGAGAUCAGAACGUGCGCAGAAAUCGCUCCAUUUAAAAAAGUCCAUUUAUCUGCAUGAAUUAUGGUGAAGGGCCGUUCUGUAACAUGGAGGCAGAGCCGACUAGAGCUGCUUCAGUCCUGUAGAGUUGUGUGGCCAGGAGGAACCAGCAAAUGAAACGACAACAUUAAAACUCAUUUUCUUCUCAGUUUCCUUCAGUUUGUUCCAACCACAGAAAAACAAACGAGCCGUUUACAGCCUCCAAAUAGCUUUAUUGUUCUUGCGACUGUCCCUAAAGGUUCAACAUGUGGGAAUGAAAGCUGUGGCUCCCUGCAGCCUCUGUGUUGGGUUCAAAGCCUCGGUGGCAGCAGCUGCUGAAACUCAUCCUCUGCUCCCACGCUGGUUAAAUCCUGAUGAUGGAUUAUGCUCAGUUGUUUUAUGGGACCUUAGUUAGAUCAGUACAAAUGGGAGCGUGGAGGUGUUUGUCCAAACGUAGCUUAAAGAUGUUCACCGUCACAAAUACUGAGCAGCGCUGCAGAUGUGUCACCAAAACCCAUCAGCGUUUUCUUUUCAUGUUUUUUUCCCGUGUGUUCAGUGCUCAGCUGAUUAGACUUUUACUGUAACAGUAGCUAAAUGGAUGAAGCCUGUGGCGAAGCAGAAAACCCUGCAGGCAAAGAGCCAAAGGCAGUGUUAG
Molecule: long non-coding RNA, 1394 nt
Filed under: Betta splendens (Siamese fighting fish)
Lineage: Eukaryota; Metazoa; Chordata; Actinopteri; Anabantiformes; Osphronemidae
Description: lncRNA (ENSBSLG00000014464.1)
Source: RNAcentral